GAUUAGUACAUGCAUAAGCGAACAUUUGAAGAAGACUACAGAAACGAGACCUAAGUUUCUAGCCGUUUCACUUCCAAUAUCGAUUUCUCAAUACAAUAGAACCGAUUAAAUUCUUUUCAUAGACCCAUCUUCAUUUCGGAUUCAACGAUUUGUGAGAGUAAAUCAGAUGAUAAGCGGUUUUUAGUGUUCACGGGAAUGAAUAGACCCCACUUUAGAGCGGAGUCACUUAAAGAUUGUAUGACAAGAAUGGAAGCUUUGCAAGCGGUGAAAAAUCCAGAUCCACAACUAUGGUAUAAGGACUUGGCAUUGAUAUUCAGGAGGUUCAUUUUUCAGUCUUCUCUUGCUUAUGGUUUCUUCUUGUGAGAGGAACUACUAUUAGUCUGUUUCUGGUGGCCAUAUUUAAUUGUGUAAAGGUGUUCUGUUUCUUCUUCAGUUGUUCGUCUGUGUCCAUUUUCCUCCAACUGCGGCGUUGUAAUUUCUUUGGCAGAGUCAAUUUGUAAUUUCAUACUUUAUAUUUUCCAGCUUCUUAACGCAUGUUAUUUUGCAGGCUUACUUUUCUUCUAAUGCUUUCGCUUUGGCUUUAAAGAAGUCCUCCCCAAGGGUGACAAAUGAGGUUGUCCAAAGGGGAUUAUUUUGUUAAUCCAAUGGUAGAUCCAGGAACUCUUACACCACCUCUCUUUUAUCAUCAUACUACAAGGUAUGUGGCUAUGCGUUUUUAGUCAUUUUGGCUUCACUUCACAUGCAUCAUUAGUAAGCUAUUUCCAAUGUUUUUUCAAGUAUAUCAAUUUGUCUUCACUUCACACGCAUCGCUAGAUGAGAGAUUUGACAAGUGGUGUCAUUUCAAUAUGUUUUUUCUAUGUAAUAUACAUAAUCACACAUACUGGAAAUGACUUAUGGAAUAUGAAUUUAAGUCAUGACUGCAUUUUGAAGUGGAGUCAAGGUUAACUUAUUUAUUUUAAUUAUGUUAUGGUUAUUUCUUGGUUGAGUAUGUGAAUCACAUUUUGGAAUAUUGAAUGAAUUUCAGGUUUAUGUAGUUUAUAUUAGGGGUGUGCAUGGUUGGUUAUUUUCAAAAACUAAACCAUAACCAUUUUAAAACCAUUUAAACGAUUUGGAUUUAUAACCAUAUCCAUAUUUUAAUCAAAACUGGUUAUAAAAUUGGUUAUGAUUAUAUAACCGGUUUUUUAAAAAAUCCAGUUUUGAAAAUUAUU
This is a long non-coding RNA of Vicia villosa (hairy vetch), 1208 nucleotides long. RefSeq lists it as uncharacterized. Lineage: Eukaryota; Viridiplantae; Streptophyta; Magnoliopsida; Fabales; Fabaceae. The record is from RefSeq and is a predicted model, not a curated record. The transcript is spliced from 4 exons.